This 490-nucleotide ribosomal RNA is filed under the name uncultured bacterium. RNAcentral's name for it is "partial 16S ribosomal RNA". It matches the Rfam family "Bacterial small subunit ribosomal RNA", at positions 30 to 507 of the family's 1533-position model. The record is from RNAcentral.
AUUGAACGCUGGCGGCAGGCCUAACACAUGCAAGUCGAACGGUAACAGGAAGCAGCUUGCUGCUUUGCUGUCGAGUGGCGGACGGGUGAGUAAUGUCUGGGAAACUGCUCGAUGGAGGGGGAUAACUACUGGAAACGGUAGCUAAUACCGCAUAACGUCGCAAGACCAAAGAGGGGGACCUUAGGGCCUCUUGCCAUCGGAUGUGCCCAGAUGGGAUUAGCUAGUAGGUGGGGUAACGGCUCACCUAGGCGACGAUCCCUAGCUGGUCUGAGAGGAUGACCAGCCACACUGGAACUGAGACACGGUCCAGACUCCUACGGGAGGCAGCAGUGGGGAAUAUUGCGCAAUGGGCGCAAGCCUGAUGCAGCCAUGCCGCGUGUGUGAAGAAGGCCUUCGGGUUGUAAAGUACUUUCAGCGGGGAGGAAGAGAGUAAUGAUAAUACCUUUACUCAUUGACGUUACCCACAGAAGAAGCACCGGCUAACUCCGUG